This 917-nucleotide ribosomal RNA is filed under the name uncultured bacterium. RNAcentral describes it as "bacterial SSU rRNA". It matches the Rfam family "Bacterial small subunit ribosomal RNA", at positions 8 to 916 of the family's 1533-position model. The record is from RNAcentral.
AGAGUUUGAUCCUGGCUCAGAUUGAACGCUGGCGGAAUGCUUUACACAUGCAAGUCGAACGGCAGCACGGGAGCUUGCUCCUGGUGGCGAGUGGCGAACGGGUGAGUAAUAUAUCGGAACGUAUCCAAUAAUGGGGGACAACGAGUCGAAAGAUUCGCUAAUACCGCAUACGCCCUACGGGGGAAAGCUAGGGAUCGUAAGACCUGGCGUUAAUGGAGCGGCUGAUAUCUGAUUAGCUAGUUGGUGGGGUAAAGGCCUACCAAGGCUUUGAUCAGUAGCUGGUCUGAGAGGACGACCAGCCACACUGGAACUGAGACACGGUCCAGACUCCUACGGGAGGCAGCAGUGGGGAAUUUUGGACAAUGGGGGCAACCCUGAUCCAGCCAUUCCGCGUGAGUGAAGAAGGCCUUCGGGUUGUAAAGCUCUUUCGCAAGGGAAGAAAACUUAUCCUCUAACAUAGGGUGAGGCUGACGGUACCUUGAUAAGAAGCACCGGCUAACUACGUGCCAGCAGCCGCGGUAAUACGUAGGGUGCGAGCGUUAAUCGGAAUUACUGGGCGUAAAGCGUGCGCAGGCGGUUUUGAAAGUCAGAUGUGAAAUCCCCGGGCUCAACCUGGGAACUGCGUUUGAAACUCCAAGACUAGAGUAUGGCAGAGGGGGGUAGAAUUCCACGUGUAGCAGUGAAAUGCGUAGAGAUGUGGAGGAAUACCAAUGGCGAAGGCAGCCCCCUGGGGUCAAUACUGACGCUCAUGCACGAAAGCGUGGGGAGCAAACAGGAUUAGAUACCCUGGUAGUCCACGCCCUAAACGAUGUCUACUAGUUGUUGGGAGAGUAAAAUCUCUUAGUAACGCAGCUAACGCGUGAAGUAGACCGCCUGGGGAGUACGGUCGCAAGAUUAAAACUCAAAGGAAUUGACGG